This 253-nucleotide ribosomal RNA is filed under the name uncultured bacterium. Its description in RNAcentral is "partial 16S ribosomal RNA". It matches the Rfam family "Bacterial small subunit ribosomal RNA", at positions 524 to 776 of the family's 1533-position model. The record is from RNAcentral.
UACGGAGGAGGCAAGCGUUAUCCGGAAUUAUUGGGCGUAAAGCGUCCGCAGGUGGCACUUCAAGUCUGUCGUCAAAGACUGGGGCUUAACCCUGGAAAGGCGGUGGAAACUGAAGCGCUAGAGUGCGGUAGGGGUAGAGGGAAUUUCCGGUGGAGCGGUGAAAUGCGUAGAGAUCGGAAAGAACACCAACGGCGAAAGCACGCUGCUGGGCCGACACUGACACUGAGAGACGAAAGCUAGGGGAGCGAAUGGG